CGUGAUCUCCGUGCACCUGCCGGUUGCCCUGCCCCCUCCAUAAGCAGAAGCAGCCUGAAGCCCACGCCAGAUGCAGCUGUCCCAGAAUCAUCACCAGAUGGAGAAUGGCUGCCCAGGCCUCUGGGGAACAUCAGGACAGGUCCUGAGGGUGCAAUGCCCAGUUCCACGGCUCUUGCUUCCAUCUGGAGGGACAAUCCAGCUGACAGAGACAUCUCCCAAUCAUAAGGAUAGAAGUCUGUGACCUGUGGCUCCUAUUAGAUACUGAGGUUGGACAAGGGCCCUGAAGAUGGAAAGUUUCAAGGCAUCUGGAUGACAAAGAUUGGUAGGUGGGAAUGCAAACCUGUGGCCAUCUUUGCAGAAACCCAGGGACAAAAAUCAGAGAGGAAAAAGGAAAUUUACGAAGACCUAUGUCUGAGAUGAAGCAGCAUGUCUGGAAGGAUGUAAAGUUGAACGGCAUUUGGGAAUUGCAGUAAAGGAACAAUGAGGCAUCCUACUAAAGUUGAUUUCCAGCUCUAAAGCAAAUCAUCAGAACUCCAAAAUGGGUACAAUUUUAAAAUAUUUCCCUCAUCACAAAUGAUGCAAGUUUAGUGACUAAAAAUGACAGCCCUGCCCUUCUUGUAGGUUCCUUGUAUGUGUGGUUGGGGGUCAUGGGGAGGAGAGAAGGAAGGUGCUGUGCUUCUGGACUGGGAGCUGGAGACACCAGGGAUGAAAGUAGCUGCAUUCCAAUGGGGCAGAGCUCUGGCUUCCUAUGUGUCAAGUUCCUGGCAUUUAAGCAUUCCUCCCCUUGGAA
Long non-coding RNA from Cynocephalus volans (Philippine flying lemur), 790 nucleotides. RefSeq lists it as uncharacterized. Lineage: Eukaryota; Metazoa; Chordata; Mammalia; Dermoptera; Cynocephalidae. The record is from RefSeq and is a predicted model, not a curated record. The transcript is spliced from 4 exons.